This 254-nucleotide ribosomal RNA is filed under the name uncultured bacterium. RNAcentral's name for it is "partial 16S ribosomal RNA". It matches the Rfam family "Bacterial small subunit ribosomal RNA", at positions 524 to 776 of the family's 1533-position model. The record is from RNAcentral.
UACGGAGGGUGCAAGCGUUAUCCGGAUUCACUGGGUUUAAAGGGAGCGUAGGAGGGCAGGUAAGUCAGUGGUGAAAUCUUCGAGCUUAACUCGGAAACUGCCGUUGAUACUAUCUGUCUUGAAUACCGUGGAGAUGAGCGGAAUAUGUCAUGUAGCGGUGAAAUGCUUAGAUAUGACAUAGAACACCAAUUGCGAAGGCAGCUCGUUACAACGAAUAUUGACUCUGAGGCUCGAAAGCGUGGGGAUCAAACAGG